GUAGUAUUCCCUCCGUCCCAAAAUUCUUGUCUUAUAUUUGUUUAGAUAUGGAUGUAUCUAACACUAAAAUGUAACUAGACACAUCCGUAUUUAGACAAAUUUAAGACAAGAAUUUUGGGACGGAGGGAGUACAAA
Molecule: non-coding RNA, 135 nt
Organism: Triticum aestivum (bread wheat)
Lineage: Eukaryota; Viridiplantae; Streptophyta; Magnoliopsida; Poales; Poaceae
Source: Rfam